UUAAAUCAGACCCAAAAUUGGGUGUCGAUCAGUGAUUAGGCGAAAAUCGCUGACGAAACGGUUACAAAGGUCCGCGAAACACAAACACACACGCACGCACGCGGUGUGUUGUUCGAUGACAUUCGUCGUUCGCCGACAACCAAAGGCCACCACCACUCGGACUAGUCGGAGUAGCUGAAUGUGAGGUGAGUUUGUCGAUCUUUUUGAGUGUUGAGAAGGGUUUUGAAUUGAGUAUGGAAGACGUAUCAGAGAGGUCAGAGAUGCGUAGACUGCAAAGGGAGCAAGAAAGAGAAAGGCGCCGAAUGCGUGACAGGGAAAGAAGACAGUCAAUGACUCUUGAGCAGAGGGAGAAACAUCUUGCUAGGCGUCGUAGAAACUAUCAAUUGAGAAGACUAAGAGCUGAAGGUGCGAGAUCAGGUUCUCAAACCGGACAAACAAGUAUGGUGACUGUAGGUGAAACUAUCACCGGCGAUGACCAUCAAGCAGUAACUUCUGUUUCAGGACUUAGUGUCAAUUGUAAUGGUGUUACUCACGUUGGAAUUAAUCAAGGCGAAGAAAAAUUAAAUGUGGAAUGUGUAGAGUCUGAGGUUUUGCAAGCUUUGGUCCACAAAUCAAAUAAUUUCCCGGCAAGGUUACGUCUAAGUCAUAUAAGACAUCUUGCAAGAUCAUUAAAUCAUUCUAUAGGAGGGCUUGCUGACAAUUACCAAAUGGUGGCAGCACUCAUAACGAAAGAGGAUGCUGCUAGUAACUGUUUGCAAGUUGGAGACUCUGAUUCUUGUAGAUCACCGCAGAGUUUACGUUUAAAUCGUGUUAAGCGCCUUGCUCGUACAUUAAACAAUUCAGCAAAUUCUUCUAUGAAAGAGGCUACUGAUCAAAACCAGCGAAGUGGGAAAGAAGGUAUGGAAUAACCUAUCAGAGCAGAAACUGCUGUGGGGAGAGCCAGGGCUGAUAUGUAAUGAUGAACCAAAACUUGUAUGACCUAUUAUAUAAGAGGAUGAACAUCUGUAAUUGGCUAUUGAAGAGAGGGAAUUAACCUUUAACUUGGUCACAUGUGAGAAAUGAAGUUUGCUUACCUUUUCUUAGGAGGUUCAAGAUUGAAGAUACGACGGAGAAAACAAAAGGGAAUUACUUCAUGGGCAUGGAUUAAUUGUUGGACAAGGCUGUGUGAUGUUUAGAAUUACUUGACUGUAGAAAUAACCAGAGACUGAAGCUGCUGAAUUGUGUCGGCGCCUUUCAAUUAACAAUUCUUUUAGGAUUUUUCCAAAGUAUUGAUUACACAUAUAUACUUGUAUGCAAAUGUUUAAUUGGUUGGGUUAGUUCUUGCUUGUUGAUUUGCUGUAAGUUUAAUUGGUAUGAAGUUUGAGUUUGAUACUAUUUCGG
Corylus avellana is the source of this 1380-nucleotide non-coding RNA. NCBI's taxonomy places the organism in Eukaryota, Viridiplantae, Streptophyta, Magnoliopsida, Fagales, Betulaceae. The record is from RefSeq and is a predicted model, not a curated record.